Long non-coding RNA from Candoia aspera, 1264 nucleotides. RefSeq lists it as uncharacterized. Lineage: Eukaryota; Metazoa; Chordata; Lepidosauria; Squamata; Candoiidae. The transcript has 3 exons. The record is from RefSeq and is a predicted model, not a curated record.
AGAGGCAGCUUUCUCGUCCCGCUCCCCCACCCCCCGCCCCGGCAUAAUCUGCGGUUGAUUGGACAGCUGCCCCUUCUUUUCUCGAAGCCCCACAGAUGGCUGACCAUCGCAACACAACGGACAAGAUGGCUCUUUUUCCUUUCUUAGCUCCCUUGCCCCCAAUACAUACCCACGUAACUAGGACGAACAUACGGAAAACCGAAGAGAAGGCGGUCACGGAGAGGCGGCAAGGAAGUUUUUCCAAAUCAGGCCUGUACAACUUCGAAGGGUGAAUGGAUGACCUCAUCUUAGAAGAGAUUUAUAGUCUAUCAACAGUUAAAGACAUGCAAUUGCUUUGCAAAAUGCAAGGGUUGCUAUGGUGGAGAUAAAUGAGAAGAGAUACCCCAUAAACAUCAUCUGAGCCAGACAUCUGUGCACAACCGUACCCUCUCCCCUUUCCUACAAGCAUAUGGCUUAUUUUUUUCAGUUUCCUGCAUUAAAAUCAGAUCGUAUUUGCUAUCCCUGUUCAUAAUUAUAAAAACAGUUGAGAAUCUUUAAACCAGGAACUUCAAAUCUAGAUCAUAACUACAAAAUGGCUCAAAUUCACCACACUCUAAUGGAAUAGGUAAUAUUGACAUACUUGUUAAACUCAGUUAAGCAACAAACCAACCAUAUUAUUGCUGAGCAUUGUGUGUGAACCAGGUUAGUCAAUGGGUUUAAGGAAGAACUGCCAAUUCUUCCAGACAUGCUUUUGGAGCUCAAGAAAGUACUGAGGACUUACUUCUUUACAUCACUGAUCAUGAAGAUUUUCAGGUCCUGGAUACAUUCUACCCCUCCUGAGUCUAAUUUAGUAUCAUUAAAUGUAUCUUAUUUAAUUUGGGCAAAUUAGCAACUGCCAUACUGCUGUCCUCUGUCUUACACAUGAUUUUUGCUUGCCAUAGAUAAAUGAUGAGUUGCCUUCACACCUGAUUCAGCAAGCUAAAUUUCAUGCUUCCUUUCCAAAUUAAGUUUGGAAACCUUUUUCAAUUUGGGGCUUCCCAUCAUAGUUUGGAGUACAAAUGUAAAUCACAGUUUGCCAUUGUGUCAGAACCAGUAAAUUACAAGUACCUUGAAUCAGACAAAUUAGAUCAGCCCUGGUCUACAUGAAGCCUUAAAAAUGGUCACAGAGGCUCUUGCUGUUAUCUCUGUUAAAUUCUUUUUCGCCUCAUCACCAUUUUACUUUUUAAAUAGAAAGAAUUGGAUGUACCAGUCUGAUUUCAAAGAGUGCCCAUCUUUAAUAAUUCUA